This 30-nucleotide transfer RNA is filed under the name Mertensia virginica. RNAcentral's name for it is "partial tRNA-Leu". Lineage: Eukaryota; Viridiplantae; Streptophyta; Magnoliopsida; Boraginales; Boraginaceae. The record is from RNAcentral. RNAcentral also lists the same sequence under 6 other names.
GCCGCUAUGGUGAAAUUGGUAGACACGCGC